RNAcentral lists this ribosomal RNA (497 nucleotides) under uncultured bacterium. RNAcentral's name for it is "partial 16S ribosomal RNA". It matches the Rfam family "Bacterial small subunit ribosomal RNA", at positions 28 to 507 of the family's 1533-position model. The record is from RNAcentral.
GAUGAACGCUGGCGGCGUGCCUAAUACAUGCAAGUCGAGCGAACGGACGAGAAGCUUGCUUCUCUGAUGUUGGCGGCGGACGGGUGAGUAACACGUGGAUAACCUACCUAUAAGACUGGGAUAACUUCGGGAAACCGGAGCUAAUACCGGAUAAUAUUUUGAACCGCAUGGUUCAAAAGUGAAAGACGGUCUUGCUGUCACUUAUAGAUGGAUCCGCGCUGCAUUAGCUAGUUGGUAAGGUAACGGCCUACCAAGGCAGCGAUGCAUAGUCGACCUGAGAGGGUGAUCGGCCACACUGGAACUGAGACACGGUCCAGACUCCUACGGGAGGCAGCAGUAGGGAAUCUUCCGCAAUGGGCGAAAGCCUGACGGAGCAACGCCGCGUGAGUGAUGAAGGUCUUCGGAUCGUAAAACUCUGUUAUUAGGGAAGAACAUAUGUGUAAGUAACUGUGCACAUCUUGACGGUACCUAAUCAGAAAGCCACGGCUAACUACGUG